UACGUAGGGGGCAAGCGUUGUCCGGAUUUACUGGGCGUAAAGAGCGCGCAGGCGGUCGAUCAAGUCGGGUGUGAAAGCCCCCGGCUCAACUGGGGAGGGUCAUUCGAUACUGAUCGACUCGAAGGCAGGAGAGGGUAGUGGAAUUCCCGGUGUAGUGGUGAAAUGCGUAGAUAUCGGGAGGAACACCAGUGGCGAAGGCGACUACCUGGCCUGUUCUUGACGCUGAGGCGCGAAAGCUAGGGGAGCAAACGGG
Molecule: ribosomal RNA, 253 nt
Filed under: uncultured bacterium
Lineage: Bacteria
Description: partial 16S ribosomal RNA
Rfam family: Bacterial small subunit ribosomal RNA
Source: RNAcentral